GAUUGGGUAUUAUGUAACUGGAUUUUUUAUUUUUUUUUAGAAAAUCACUUAUUAAAAAUGCAUUACAUGAACUAUUUUAAAAUUACAUCUAACAAUAUGGUACAUAUUGUUGGAAUUUCGUCAAAUUUUUUAUCAAGAAUUUCACUAAAUAUAUGGAGAUUUCUGAAUCAAUCUUGAUGAAUAAAAAUUAUUCUUUUUAAUUGAUU
This 206-nucleotide long non-coding RNA is filed under the name Lathyrus oleraceus (garden pea). RNAcentral's name for it is "Pisum sativum (pea) long non-coding RNA (PSAT_LNC010474)". Lineage: Eukaryota; Viridiplantae; Streptophyta; Magnoliopsida; Fabales; Fabaceae. The record is from RNAcentral.